AUAUUGCUUUUCCUCUGUUUCUUUGUUAUUAUUAAUAUUCUUCCAACUAUUUUGUCCGCCACUUUUCUCGGAGACAAUGGAACCAAUCUUAAUGAUAGUUAAGUAUAAUAGGGAACACAAAAUUGCGGGUUGCAGUAGGGUCUAAGACCAUGAAAAAUGGCUGCCGUUUCCAUGGAAACGGCACAAUUGUGAAAAAUUCCACUUUUUGUUUUUUUGGAAUAAUUUGGAGAUGCUUAAACUCAGAAUCAUCAUAUUUUAAUACAAUGUAGGUGCCACCCAUAUACUGGUUUUGGAUGAUUUUGGCAAUCAUUGGAACUACUAUGUUGCCAUGGAAACUACACCAAAAAUUUCAAAAUUAUGAAAAUGCUCCAAAUUUUUUGAAACUUUAGCAUAACGAUGAGCAACUUUGGUAGAUGUGGAAUUUGGCGUUGGAAUUUCCAAAAUGUCUGCUGUUUCCAUGGAAACAAUGCGAAAAGGUCAAAAUGCUCCAAAAACUGUCGGGUUUGGUGAAUAACUUUGGUAUGCUUGAACUUAAAAUCAUCAAAUUUUAAUGCAAUAUAGUUGUCCACUAUAUCCAGGUUUUGAAUGAUUUUGACAAUCAUUGGAACUACUAUGUUACCAUGGAUACAGGAUCAAAUAUUUCAAAAUGCUCCAAAAUUAAUGAAACUUAAUAUGAUUGUUGACUGUCAAGACUGCAUCAGACUUUUGAAGUUGGAAUUUCCAAAAU
Molecule: long non-coding RNA, 727 nt
Filed under: Mytilus galloprovincialis (Mediterranean mussel)
Lineage: Eukaryota; Metazoa; Mollusca; Bivalvia; Mytilida; Mytilidae
Source: RNAcentral